This is a long non-coding RNA of Equus caballus (horse), 3793 nucleotides long. The record is from Ensembl. Lineage: Eukaryota; Metazoa; Chordata; Mammalia; Perissodactyla; Equidae.
GGAUUGCUCUCCAGCAAAGUCCCAGACCUCGCACCCUCCUCCUCAGGCUCUGCUUUCUGGGCCACCCAGGCCCGCCCGCCACCCCCGGAGGCGGCGACAGGCUAUUUCCUGGAGAAAGCGAAUUGAGAGGGUCUGGAACCUGGAGCCUUGAAGAACUGGGACAGGACCCCACCUCCCACUCACUAAAGAGAAUGUGGAGCAAAAAGAAUACGGGACUAGGUCUGUUUUCCGGUGGAAACGUCUCGGGUCUAAAUAUGGCAGCAGCCUGGGGCCCCUGCAGAAGGUGGGGCCGGGCAGUGACUCUUCUUAAGCCAUACGUCAAAGUCGUCUCCUCCACUGUAACUCCUGGAGAAAGUUCUCUCAAACUUCCCCGACUUGAGUUUGUCUCUGUAGAAGUUUGGACGGAAAUGUGACAAAACCCUCGUUUGAGGGAAGCGAUUAAAGCUUGUCCUCACCGGUGGGCAGAGCGACUUGCCCUGUCUUCUCAUACUGACUGCGCUUCAUGGAUUUCUAAUCAGGCGCUGUCCAGAGUGAAAUUUCUUAUGUUCUGGCUUCUAAACAGUGAAAUACGAAUAAAUUCCAUAAUGUGUUUAAAAACAAAACAAACAGCGACAACAAGAAAAAUACCAGCAGGCAGGUCACGUGGAAGGGCCGGGAGGAGGAGAAAAGGGCCGCCCCGCCCCUACAGGAUCACCUGCUGGCCGGGCUGGCCGCCCCCACGCGGGACAGAACCGGGUCCGCCCGCCACGCCUGCGCAUCUCGGGGCGCAUCCUCUGGGCUGCGGACUCCGCGCCCCGAAGAGGGGUCCCGCUUCUGGCCGCCGCUGGUUGCUCACCCAUCAGGAGCCCCGGAGUCCGGAGCAGGAUUCCCACCCGAACCCCUGGGGCGUCCCCGUGGCCGCUGGACCAGAGCCCCGGACAGCCGGCACUGGCACUGGUCUACACUGGCCCAGACCGCCCACCUUCCACCUGCGCAGGAAGGUGUGGAAGGACGGGAGGGCCAGCAGCAGCCUCGGAGACACAUCAAGGCCUGGCGACCUCGAAUGGCAUCCCACGAGGGCGUGGACCGGGGUGGAGGGUGGGGAUUGGAGGAGAAUUAAUCAAUAAAGUUCAAGCCUUUUGAAAGGAAUAACAAUGACCGUUUCUCUCCCGUGUCCCACCUGGCGGAGUGAGUGAAGCAGCCUGCUGUCUCAGUCCAUGUUCUGGUUCAGCUCCUUCAUCCUGCACAGGAAAUGUCUGCAGGGCCAAGUCACUCCAGAACAUUUGGGGGCCGGUACCAUCACACUUAAAGGUAAACGUCCGCCAGCUCAGCUGCCCCCUUGCUAGAUUUGGCAGAACCCAGGAUCUCCUUGGUCCAAUCCGAUGGCUUCUCCUCCUGAACUGUCCCCCAACGCAACGGCUUCUGGGGCCUCAACAGGAAGCUGCCCCCGCCACGUUCCAGCCUCGCGCAGGAGGACAGAGACGCUGGGCUUUGUGCUGCCCGCCUCCUAUGCGCACGUCAGCCGUCAGACCCUCAAGCCCCGCAGAUGCAUUCCUCCCUGUCCCCCGACACUGAGCGGACUGUCCCCGGGAGACACGUUCGCUGCUGAGACGAGAGGGAAACCCUCCCCACCGUGCCCAGGCUGGCAGGGCGCUCAGCUGGAGCUCCGAAAACAAACCCGUGUCCGUCUCAGCAGGUGGUCCUUCUGUCUGUCUCUGCGGGAUGGUCCUCUACACACAUUUCCCCAGGAAAUUUAAUCAAAGACUGCAUUUGGAGGCAAGACUCGAACGUGAAUAAGUCUUCCUGGCAACACGCUUUUCUCUUCCUAGGAAUCGGUCAACACGGGCGUUUUGUGACGUUCAGGUGCUCUGAGAACUGAGGGAGCAGCCGUGUGCCUAGCAGGAUGCGACGACGAUUAACAGCAGCUAGAAGAUGCUGAUGAAGAAGAGCCUGGAGUCCUCACAUUCUUUUCUUUAGCCUCUUGAAAAAGCUAUAAAGGCAGCAUGAAGAGGAAGCUGUUAGUAGCCAGGAAAUUCGAGAGAAGAACGUUCUGAAAUAGGACUUCUCAGAGGAAAUGAUCACUAAUAGCCCUAAUUCAGGACAUUCCAGACAACAGUCCUAAGAUCAAAGCCGCUCCUCCGCUUCACACACCAGCGGCCGUCUCCUCGCUGCACUCGCCCAGCAGGCACCCUUCGCCAGAACCGGACAAGCUUCGGACUCAAAACACAUCCCUCUGGGAGAAGCCUGGAAAGGCUGAGGGAGGAGACUCUCUCUCCUGGCCUAAGUGUUUUUCAGCCCCUGGAAUGAUUUCCUGUUAUUUCAUUUUGAGCCUCCCUGAGUAUUUCUCACUUAUUCAGUACUCUUAAUCCCCCAGAAGCGUUUUAUUUUUUCUUCCUCCUUUGGUUUUUCUUUCCUUGUCAGAAAGAAAUCUCACUCCCACAGUUGUUUUCUUCUUCUCUGCUGGAGCAGAGAGUUCUAAAAUUACUUCAUUGUGCCAGGUGGUGAGGUCUUUUCAACCUUGAUGGAUGCUGUUCUCGAGCUUAAGCCGUUGUCAUAAAAUGCGUAGUUUACCAACUCUCUCCUCCUUUGUAAAGUUAACUUUAUUCUUAGGAUGCAGCUUUUAAAACUCUGUUCCAAGUUGAGUGUAGCUGCAAAGAGUCAGAUAAUGUUUGGGUGGUGGGGGGAAGGCUCAGCACCCUCGCACGAAACUGCAGGAGCCUUUCGAAUGCUACAAUAUCCGUAUGUGUUUAGAGAAAUAUAAUUGUUCACUGCAAAUGUCAAAGAAGGUUUAUUUACAAAGAAGGAUUAUGGUCACUAACUAGAUCAAAAUUAGGAGAGAAUGAUCAUAGGAACAAAUUAUACCCAAGGACAUUUACUCAUUCUUCUUAAACAGAGUAUAGCAAUUACCUUUUCUCAGACUCUCUCCUUGCAGAAUCUCACAGACAUUCAGGAUGGGCGGGCUUCAGCGGCCCUCAGAUAUAACCACAUCCCUGAAAAAUAAUCUCUCAGCCUAGUCCUAACCCCCUCUAGCAAUGGAAAACACCCUCUCCAAAGGCUGCCUUUCUCCUUGGAUUUUGGCUUUCCUGGAAUAACUCAGCGCCUUAAGUAUAAACACAUAGAGAAACCACUGCCCCCACGCAGGAAGCUGACUCCUCGUUGUCAAUACUCAGUACUCAUGCCGCUCUGGCCCAGCCACUCUGACCUGACCUUGAGACACAGCCAUGCCUCUCUCUCAUUUCCUUUGAAACUGUGAAAAGAGGAGAAAGUAUAUCAAGAGGAGUGACGUUUUACAGACAUGCCAUCACUUCUGCCAGGCACACCGGCCCUUAAACCAUUACCGUCCCUGUGAGGCUGGAAAAGCUGCCCUGCAUGUAGGCAUGCCUCCGGAGUAGAAUCAAUGACUGCCUUUAUGUUUGUUUUAUGUGUUGAUCACCAGCCCUGUUAACCUUCCUAGUUAGAAUUAAAUAGAUGAUUUCAUUUUUAAAUCUGUCUGGUUGAUAAAGAGCUUUUACUCUAAAGUUCAGUUUUCUAUAUAUUUAAAACAUCCUAAUUGAGAACAAAGUGUCAGAAACAUUUCAAAAGCAAUACCCAAAAAGCAAUAUUGACAAAAACAAUAGUAAUAACGCUGACAAAUAAAAAUGGCAAGCAAUAGGAUAUAUUGGAGAAUAUGAGGAAGCCAUUUGGUAUAAACCUAAUUCGGCCUGACUUUGUCUUUCCAAAAGGCCUGACCCUGGCCAUGGAGCAUGCACUGUAUAACUGCUUUAGAGAUUCCCUAUGGCAAGUGCCAAAGGCCCUUGAGGUAAAUGUGCAACUU